RNAcentral lists this ribosomal RNA (813 nucleotides) under Magnaporthaceae sp. RNAcentral's name for it is "partial large subunit ribosomal RNA". It matches the Rfam family "Eukaryotic large subunit ribosomal RNA", at positions 71 to 913 of the family's 3401-position model. Lineage: Eukaryota; Fungi; Ascomycota; Sordariomycetes; Magnaporthales; Magnaporthaceae. The record is from RNAcentral.
GGGAUUGCCCUAGUAACGGCGAGUGAAGCGGCAACAGCUCAAAUUUGAAAUCUGGCCCCUAGGCCCGAGUUGUAAUUUGUAGAGGAUGCUUUUGGCGAAGUGCUUACCGAGUCCCCUGGAAUGGGGCGCCACAGAGGGUGAGAGCCCCGUAUGGUUUGCCACUGAACCUCUGUAAAGCUCCUUCGACGAGUCGAGUAGUUUGGGAAUGCUGCUCUAAAUGGGAGGUAAAUUUCUUCUAAAGCUAAAUACCGGCCAGAGACCGAUAGCGCACAAGUAGAGUGAUCGAAAGAUGAAAAGCACUUUGAAAAGAGGGUUAAAUAGCACGUGAAAUUGUUGAAAGGGAAGCGCUUGUGACCAGACUUGCGCCUGGAGGAUCAUCCAGGGUUCUCCCUGGUGCACUCCUUCAGGCUCAGGCCAGCAUCGGUUUUCGCCGGGGGACAAAAGCUUCGGGAACGUGGCUCCCUACGGGGAGUGUUAUAGCCCGUUGCAUAAUACCCCGGCGGGGACCGAGGACCGCGCUUCGGCAAGGAUGCUGGCGUAAUGGUCAUCAGCGACCCGUCUUGAAACACGGACCGAGGAGUCAAGCAUUAGUGCGAGUGUUUGGGUGUAAAACCCGCACGCGUAAUGAAAGUGAACGUAGGUGAGAGCUUCGGCGCAUCAUCGACCGAUCCUGAUGUUUUCGGAUGGAUUUGAGUAGGAGCAUUAACGCUUGGACCCGAAAGAUGGUGAACUAUACUUGAAUAGGGUGAAGCCAGAGGAAACUCUGGUGGAGGCUCGCAGCGGUUCUGACGUGCAAAUCGAUCGUCAAAUUUG